Ctenopharyngodon idella (grass carp) is the source of this 357-nucleotide non-coding RNA. The record is from the annotation of a RefSeq genome assembly. NCBI's taxonomy places the organism in Eukaryota, Metazoa, Chordata, Actinopteri, Cypriniformes, Xenocyprididae.
AUGGAGGAGAAGCAAAUGCUGCUCAUGAUGCUCAUCACAGUUUCAGGUGGAUUUGCAGAUAAAAUUGGACCAAAAGAUGGAAAUACUAAUGUAAUCAAAGAAGAAGGAGAGUCUGUGACACUGAGCUGCACAUAUGAAACUAACAGCAAUGAUAUUUGGCUUUACUGGUACAGACAGUAUCCAAACAGAGAACCAGAAUAUUUACUGCGCAAAGGUGCUCGAUCACGGAGCAGUGAGGAUAUACCAGACGGUUUUCAGUCGACUACAUCCCAAUCAUCCACUGAACUCAUUAUUAACAGUGUGACUCUGUCAGAUUCAGCUCUCUAUUAUUGUGCUCUAAGAGUAGCAGCCCAGUGA